Molecule: ribosomal RNA, 1447 nt
Filed under: Betaproteobacteria bacterium
Lineage: Bacteria; Pseudomonadati; Pseudomonadota; Betaproteobacteria
Description: bacterial SSU rRNA
Rfam family: Bacterial small subunit ribosomal RNA
Source: RNAcentral
UUUGUAGCAAUACCGAUGAAUUCUAGUGGCGAACGGGUGCGUAACACGUGAGCAAUCUGCCGGGAAGUGGGGGAUAACUCGCCGAAAGGCGAAUUAAUACCGCAUGUGGCCAAGGAAGACAUCUUCCUGACGCCAAAGCCGGGGCAACCUGGCGCUUCUCGAGGGGCUCGCGGCCUAUCAGCUUGUUGGUGAGGUAACGGCUCACCAAGGCUAUGACGGGUAGCUGGUCUGAGAGGACGACCAGCCACACUGGAACUGAGACACGGUCCAGACACCUACGGGUGGCAGCAGUCGAGAAUUUUUCACAAUGGGGGAAACCCUGAUGGAGCGACGCCGCGUGGAGGAUGAAGGUCUUCGGAUUGUAAACUCCUGUCAAAUGGGAACAAGAAAGUGAUAGUACCAUUAGAGGAAGAGACGGCUAACUCUGUGCCAGCAGCCGCGGUAAUACAGAGGUCUCAAGCGUUGUUCGGAUUCAUUGGGCGUAAAGGGUGCGCAGGCUGUGUGGUAAGUCGGGUGUGAAAUUUAGAGGCUCAACCUCUAAACUGCACCUGAUACUGCCAUGCUAGAGGACUGUAGAGGAGAUUGGAAUUCACGGUGUAGCAGUGAAAUGCGUAGAUAUCGUGAGGAAGACCAGUGGCGAAGGCGAAUGCCUGGGCAGUUCCUGACACUGAGGCACGAAGGCCAGGGGAGCAAACGGGAUUAGAUACCCCGGUAGUCCUGGCAGUAAACGGUGCUCAUUAGAUGUAGGCGGAUUCGACCCCGCCUGUGUCGAACCUAACGGAUUAAAUGAGCCGCCUGGGAAGUACGGUCGCAAGAUUAAAACUCAAAGAAAUUGACGGGGGCCCGCACAAGCGGUGGAGUAUGUGGCUUAAUUCGAUGCAACGCGAAGAACCUUACCUGGCCUUGACAUGCUGAGUUCAGGCGUGGAAACACGCUGGCCCGCAAGGGCGAUCUGCACAGGUGCUGCAUGGCUGUCGUCAGCUCGUGUCGUGAGAUGUUGGGUUAAGUCCCGCAACGAGCGCAACCCUCGUGACUAGUUAAUCCCGGGCAACCGGAUUCUGGUCAGACUGCCCUGUGAAACGGGGAGGAAGGUGGGGACGACGUCAAGUCCGUAUGGCCCUUACGGCCAGGGCUGCACACGUACUACAAUGCCCAAUACAGAGGGACGCAAGACCGCAAGGUGGAGCUAAUCCCGUAAAGUUGGGCCCAGUUCGGAUUGGAGGCUGCAACUCGCCUCCAUGAAGUUGGAAUCGCUAGUAAUGGCGCAUCAGCUACGGCGCCGUGAAUACGUUCCCGGGCCUUGUACACACCGCCCGUCACAUCAUGAAAGCCGGUCUUACCCAAAGUCGCCUCCGGGUGCCUAAGGUAAGGCUGGUGAUUGGGAUGAAGUCGUAACAAGGUAGCCGUAGGGGAACCUGCGGCUGGAUUACCUCCUUUCUAAGGAGUA